GGUGGAGUGUGUACGAAGGUUAUGAGUUGAUCAACAUGGAAUCAAUCACUCUUAGUAAGAGAAGAUCGCAUCCUAUGAAUUUUUAUCUCUAGAUGACUCGAAAAAAAUCUUUUAACCAAAAGUAGGAUGGAGAUUACAAAGAGUUUCUAAUGCUUCAUCAUCAAAGUCAUUAUUGAUUGAUAGAGAAUCAAUAUGAAUAUGUGUUUGAGUUUGACAUUAUUUAAUACUCAUGAACAUACAUGCAGAAAUGAUCGAAGGAUUAAAUUGUAAGGUAACUUACCACUAAAGGAUAUAUUUGAU
This 300-nucleotide long non-coding RNA is filed under the name Elaeis guineensis (African oil palm). Its description in RNAcentral is "long non-coding RNA (EGUI_LNC049632)". The record is from RNAcentral. Lineage: Eukaryota; Viridiplantae; Streptophyta; Magnoliopsida; Arecales; Arecaceae.